CCAGCAGUGGGGAAUAUUGGACAAUGGGGGGAACCCUGAUCCAGCCAUGCCGCGUGUGUGAAGAAGGCCUUAUGGUUGUAAAGCACUUUAAGCGAGGAGGAGGGUACUGGUAUUAAUACUACCAGGUACUGGACGUUACUCGCAGAAUAAGCACCGGCUAACUCUGUGCCAGCAGCCGCGGUAAUACAGAGGGUGCGAGCGUUAAUCGGAUUUACUGGGCGUAAAGCGUGCGUAGGCGGCUAAUUGAGUCGGAUGUGAAAUCCCCGAGCUUAACUUGGGAAUUGCAUUCGAUACUGGUUAGCUAGAGUGUGGGAGAGGAUGGUAGAAUUCCAGGUGUAGCGGUGAAAUGCGUAGAGAUCUGGAGGAAUACCGAUGGCGAAGGCAGCCAUCUGGCCUAACACUGACGCUGAGGUACGAAAGCAUGGGGAGCAAACAGGAUUAGAUACCCUGGUAGUCCAUGCCGUAAACGAUGUCUACUAGCCGUUGGUCUCUUUGAGGGAUUAGUGGCGCAGCUAACGCGAUAAGUAGACC
RNAcentral lists this ribosomal RNA (531 nucleotides) under uncultured Acinetobacter sp. RNAcentral's name for it is "bacterial SSU rRNA". It matches the Rfam family "Bacterial small subunit ribosomal RNA", at positions 348 to 870 of the family's 1533-position model. The record is from RNAcentral. Lineage: Bacteria; Pseudomonadati; Pseudomonadota; Gammaproteobacteria; Moraxellales; Moraxellaceae.